RNA transcript from Epinephelus fuscoguttatus (brown-marbled grouper), 2368 nucleotides. It is a transcript of the gene named GRAM domain-containing protein 2B-like, with no coding region annotated. The transcript is spliced from 13 exons. NCBI's taxonomy places the organism in Eukaryota, Metazoa, Chordata, Actinopteri, Perciformes, Serranidae. The record is from RefSeq and is a predicted model, not a curated record.
CCCUUUCCCGGCUCCUCCUCUGCCAGAGUUCUCGGUCCACCGAAGCCAAGCUUCCCAAACUUUCCGUGCCAAGGCUUCCUGUUAAAGCCUCUGUGUUAUAUGCAGGCGAACAGUCGAAGCCGAUGGAGGGGGACGCGUAAAAUGUGAAAUAUAAAAAAACUAUGGUACUGAUGACCGAGCAGGCGGACAGACCUCUGACUCCGUUAUCCACACCGGAGCAACUUUUCAACAAGGACUCCCGAGGGAAUCGGUUGACGUCUGAAGCGGAGCAUGGAGGUGAGAGGAGACAGAGGAGGCGCGGAGGCUCACCUGCAGACCCUCUGUUGUGUUUGGAUUCAGAGACAGACCCCUCAGAGAGCAAAAGGAAACCAACUGGCAUGAGAUUGAAACCUGUGGAGCAGCUUUCUCCAAUGCUGAGUCCAAGUGACUGUGAAACAAAGUUUGAAAGGAAGAAAUCCCAGCCCAGUCAAUUAUCAAAGACAAAUGCUCAGUAUCACAAGUUAUUCAAGGAGGUCAGCAAAGAUGAGUCACUCAGACAAAGUUACACUUGUGCCCUGCAGAAAGACAUUUUAUAUCAGGGCAAAAUGUUCGUCUCUGAUCACUGGAUCUGUUUCCACUCCAAAGUUUUUGGCAGAGACACAAAGAUUUCAAUCCCAGUGUUGUCUGUGACAUUUAUCAAAAAAACUAAAACUGCAUUAUUAGUGCCAAACGCCCUCGUGAUUGAAACUACUUGUGACCAGCAUGUGUUUGUGUCCUUCCUCUCUCGAAACACCACCUACAAACUUCUGAAGACCGUCUGUGGUCAUCUGGAGGUGGAUAAGACUUGUAACAGCCCUGUUAUUUCCUCCUGUGAAACCAGCUUCAGAGUGAAAUGCCCAUCCUCACUUCCUCUGGAUUUUUCUGCAGACUUCUCCGACCUGGACGGGGUUGUGCAGCAAAGACGUCAGGAGAUGAUGGAGAGCAGCAGCUCCGGCUCUCAAACUCCAGAUUAUGACAAAAUAAAUGACUUCACCAGCCUCCCUGACACAUUUCUAAGUGCAGUGAAGAGCGGAGAGGUUUCAGUCCACGCAGACAUUCACCUCCAGAGUCCAAGCCAAAAACACGGAGCUGCCCUCAAGAACGGGUCUACAAAGCUCAAAGACAAACCCUCGCAGCCCAUGUCGUUACAAGCCAUCCUCCUCAUCUAUUUGUUUUUAUUGUGGCUCUUGAGCAUCGUUUGAACUCCUUGGUGUCCAUGGGGGAACACAUUCGUAAUGAGUAAGAGCCAGAGUCACAUAAUUGAGGUGUACCAAACAAUGAACAAAUGCGCUCUUACAGUUUUAUUUUCUUUUUUUUUUUUGUAAUGCAGCAUCACGCUUCAUUUGGUUUGUGAUUUUAGUGCAAAUGUUGUUGCAGAAACGCAGUGAGCCACAGGCCCCAGGAAGAAGUGAAUGCUGAGAUUUAUGGAGAACUUUCAACCAACUUGUUUAAGCUGGAAAAGAUCCAAAGAAGCCUCCGGAAGCUACUUGAAGAGACUUAAAAGAAGACAGACAGAAGCUUUACUUUUCUUAUUAGAAAUGUUGUAUUUUUAUCAGCAGUGAUCAGAUGUGGUAAUAGUUUUGUUGGAGGGCUCACAUAGAAAGCUUUCUUAAAACUGUCUGAACUUUAAAUUGUGCAAUAAUAGCUUCUUUCCUCUUUCCACUCAGGACUAUUUUCUCACUCUUUCUAAACUAAAUGUUGUGCUGGAGGUUAAACUGAAGCAGUGUGUUAGUGUUAGUGAAGUUUCAGCAUAUAUGCGGUGCAGUAUUUAUCUGAGAGCUUUUAUUUUGCAUAUCACAAUAGUGGAAUUUUCUUUAAAGGUCCAAAGGUCAUAUUUCAAUGUUUUCAAAACAUUUCUUUAAAAGGUCAACGUGUGCUGUUUUUAUGUUUUUUUGUUAAAAUUAAAUUUUAGAUGAAUUUUAUUUAUGUUAUGUAGAUACAUCAUUCAGAUAGGGAUGUGUGUACAAUAUCUGCUAAUGACAUAUAUUAAAAGGCAGCCUCUUGCAGUGUGUGGUGUUGGAAAAUAGAAAUGGGGCGGUCAGGGUUAUGUGAGGGGAGGUUUGCUAAGUGAAAAUUGAAAAGUUUAAUUAGUAUUUAUAUUGUAAAUUUGGCCCACUCCAGCUCAUUGAAGAGCCUCUCAGCUGGUCAUAAUUUAUAAAUCAUGUCCUGAACAUUUCUACAGAAACUUUGAUUUUUGUGUAUUUAAAGAGCUGUUAAUUAUUUCAGGAGCAACAGAAAAGAAUGAGCUCAUGUUUUAAGCUGUAGUGGGUUUUUUUACAUUCGGAUCACAGUCUGUGCCUUUACCUGUUGUGUGAAUCGCAGUCCUGAAAUAAAUGUCUCUCAUAUGGUU